UACGAAGGGGGCUAGCGUUGCUCGGAAUCACUGGGCGUAAAGCGCACGUAGGCGGACUCUUAAGUCAGGGGUGAAAUCCCUCGGCUUAACCGGGGAACUGCGUCUGAUACUGGAUGGCUUGAGUUCGGGAGAGGGAUGCGGAAUUCCAGGUGUAGCGGUGAAAUGCGUAGAUAUCUGGAGGAACACCGGUGGCGAAGGCGGCAUCCUGGACCGACACUGACGCUGAGGAGCGAAAGCCAGGGGAGCAAACGGG
This 253-nucleotide ribosomal RNA is filed under the name uncultured bacterium. RNAcentral describes it as "partial 16S ribosomal RNA". It matches the Rfam family "Bacterial small subunit ribosomal RNA", at positions 524 to 776 of the family's 1533-position model. The record is from RNAcentral.